RNAcentral lists this ribosomal RNA (256 nucleotides) under uncultured bacterium. RNAcentral describes it as "partial 16S ribosomal RNA". It matches the Rfam family "Bacterial small subunit ribosomal RNA", at positions 99 to 353 of the family's 1533-position model. The record is from RNAcentral.
CGAACGGGUGAGUAACGCGUGAGGAACCUGCCUCAUACAGGGGGAUAACAGUUGGAAACGACUGCUAAUACCGCAUAAGCGCACAGGGUCGCAUGACCUGGUGUGAAAAACUCCGGUGGUAUGAGAUGGACCCGCGUCUGAUUAGCCAGUUGGUGGGGUAACGGCCUACCAAAGCGACGAUCAGUAGCCGACCUGAGAGGGUGACCGGCCACAUUGGGACUGAGACACGGCCCAAACUCCUACGGGAGGCAGCAUG